AGACCCGAAACCCGGUGAUCUAGCCAUGGGCAGGUUGAAGGUUGGGUAACACUAACUGGAGGACCGAACCGACUAAUGUUGAAAAAUUAGCGGAUGACCUGUGGCUGGGGGUGAAAGGCCAAUCAAACCGGGAGAUAGCUGGUUCUCCCCGAAAGCUAUUUAGGUAGCGCCUCGUGAAUUCAUCUCCGGGGGUAGAGCACUGUUUCGGCUAGGGGGCCAUCCCGGCUUACCAACCCGAUGCAAACUGCGAAUACCGGAGAAUGUUAUCACGGGAGACACACGGCGGGUGCUAACGUCCGUCGUGAAGAGGGAAACAACCCAGACCGCCAGCUAAGGUCCCAAAGUCAUGGUUAAGUGGGAAACGAUGUGGGAAGGCCCAGACAGCCAGGAUGUUGGCUUAGAAGCAGCCAUCAUUUAAAGAAAGCGUAAUAGCUCACUGGUCGAGUCGGCCUGCGCGGAAGAUGUAACGGGGCUAAACCAUGCACCGAAGCUGCGGCAGCGACACUCAGGUGUUGUUGGGUAGGGGAGCGUUCUGUAAGCCUGUGAAGGUGGCCUGUGAGGGUUGCUGGAGGUAUCAGAAGUGCGAAUGCUGACAUAAGUAACGAUAAAGCGGGUGAAAAGCCCGCUCGCCGGAAGACCAAGGGUUCCUGUCCAACGUUAAUCGGGGCAGGGUGAGUCGACCCCUAAGGCGAGGCCGAAAGGCGUAGUCGAUGGGAAACGGGUUAAUAUUCCCGUACUUGGUGUUACUGCGAAGGGGGGACGGAGAAGGCUAUGUUGGCCGGGCGACGGUUGUCCCGGUUUAAGCGUGUAGGUGUGUGUUCCAGGUAAAUCCGGUUCACUU
RNAcentral lists this ribosomal RNA (841 nucleotides) under Salmonella enterica subsp. enterica serovar Grumpensis. Its description in RNAcentral is "partial 23S ribosomal RNA". It matches the Rfam family "Bacterial large subunit ribosomal RNA", at positions 711 to 1552 of the family's 2925-position model. The record is from RNAcentral. Lineage: Bacteria; Pseudomonadati; Pseudomonadota; Gammaproteobacteria; Enterobacterales; Enterobacteriaceae.